This 253-nucleotide ribosomal RNA is filed under the name uncultured bacterium. RNAcentral's name for it is "partial 16S ribosomal RNA". It matches the Rfam family "Bacterial small subunit ribosomal RNA", at positions 524 to 776 of the family's 1533-position model. The record is from RNAcentral.
UACGUAGGAGGCGAGCGUUGUCCGGAAUCACUGGGUGUAAAGCGCGUGUAGGCGGCCUGCCAAGUCUGCUGUGAAAGCGCCUGGCUUAACCGGGCGAGGUCGGUGGAAACUGGCGGGCUGGAGGACGGUAGAGGGGGGUGGAAUUCCCGGUGUAGUGGUGAAAUGCGUAGAGAUCGGGAGGAACACCAGUGGCGAAGGCGGUCCUCUGGGCCGGGUCUGACGCUGAGGCGCGAAGGCGUGGGGAGCGAUCCGG